GGGAGCUGAAGAGAAGAACCUUGCAGGGACUUCCAGUAGUGGACUGACAAAGAAAGAGCUGGUAACACUGAUCCUGAGAUUGUGGCCAUCCAGGAUAGGAGCAGGAUUGCUGUGUCCUGUGGGAAGAUUAUACCCCAUCACACCAGGUAUAUCCUGACAUUCCUGAAGAGACAGGAUACCCUUCCUUGCUGAAGUAGUUCCAGGCCUGACUCUCCAGAGAGCUAUCAGUUAUUACGUCAAGAGAAUACAGGUCCUUUGCAUUUUUGAUCUUCUUAAGUAGAGAUCUCAUUACCAGGAGAAAAUCUGUUUUUCACUUUGCUGCAAUGGAAAGGUAGAAGAUGAACUUCCAGCCAUCGGUUACUACCUCAUCUAGGGAAGACAGGUCCAUCUCACAUUUGAUGUUCUUUAAAUUGGAGACCUCAGUACUGGAGAAAAUCAGUUUCUCGCUUUUCUUCAAUGGAAAGGUAGAGGAUGAACUUUCUUGGUUUAGGAAAAUAAUUCUUAGGUUUGGUGUGUUUGUCAAGUGUGAGUG
Non-coding RNA from Peromyscus maniculatus bairdii (prairie deer mouse), 532 nucleotides. The record is from RefSeq and is a predicted model, not a curated record. Lineage: Eukaryota; Metazoa; Chordata; Mammalia; Rodentia; Cricetidae.